UUUGUUCGUGUACCUAUAUGCACGCCAUUAUACACACGGACCGUGAGCAGCUGAAAAUCAUUUGGUUUGACAACUGUUUGCGCACAUUUCGUAAAAUUUAUCGGAAAUUUGAUAGCUAUUUUCAAAGCACAGGUUUUUAAAAAUGUCAUCGCACCUUUUGCAGAUGGUACUUGGCGGUCUGCAGAUAUUUGACGAAAAAUAGGUAUAACAAAGUAAACAAAUUUAGUUUUUAAUUGUGUACAGAAAUUUCCUUAUAAUAAUAUUACGUAUGUUAAGUUUUAAAGAUUAUACUUAAAAACGAAAUGUAUAAUAUUUUAUUCUUUGCUGGGCCUAAGUCAAUUGAAAUUAUAUUGCGUAAUACUUGAUAUUAAUGUAUUAUUAUUAUACGAAGUAAAUUAUUUUAACUUUUUUUUUAGGACACUGUUGACGGUAUCUUACAACAUCUCGUUGUGUUAAGAUUGAUUUUAUUGUUCGUAUUUUCUCAAAAAACGAAUUACAUACACAUUCCACUUAUGAAUCCUUCGUUAGUAGGUUUAUCGACAUUCGACAAAAUAUAUGCGUGGUAAUAUGAAUUUUCCUGGGUUUAUACACAUGGACUACAAUUAGGAGCAACGGGACCAGUGACAAAUACAAUUUUGUCCGUACAUUUAAAAAGGAAAACAAUAUUUUUAAAUAAUCUAAAUAUCGGACGAUAUUAAAUGAUUCAAAGAUGAAAUAACCAUAAUAUCAAUUGUCUGAACACCGUUAUAGGCGAAUUUUCCAGCAGAUAUUCACAUUUCACACAGCAAAAUUUCCAAAAAACUUCGGUCAUAUACCCACGACUAUUCUCGUUAUAUUAAUUGUAUACUAUCUAUUUGUAUUGUUUUGUAUAAUAUAAUAACAUAUUAUGUAAUACGAUUUUAAUUGUUUUAGACAAAGAUGAAUUAUUCGUACGAUAAGGCUCAUACGAUGAUACGUGUAAUUCGAUAAUCGUUAUAAAUUAUUACACUGCCAACGCUGCCGUAAGUACCGCUAUAACACAUUAUAUGAUUGUUAUUGUUAUUGUUGUUGUUGUUGUCACGCAUUGUUGUAUACUAUUAUGUGCGUUUCUUAUCCCUAAAAUUCGUAACUGUAUAAUAUUACACUGGGAGUAUAAUUAUUGUAUACCUAGUAGUAAAUGUGUUAUUGAAGGACUUUAAUAAGAACCUAGAAAGUAUGUAGGUAUUUUAGGGUGACGCAGAAUAACGCGGCAUUCAGACGUUACCUAUUAAAAAAAAUUAUAAAUGUGGUGCAAAACGUCGGUCAAGUUUCGUGAUGUGAUCUUUAACAAUGCUGAUGUAGGUUUUACACUUUUAAAUGUUUGAUUUUUUCACACUGAGCUUUUAAAAAUUUUUUUUUUUUAAAGUUAAGGUUUCAACAUCCGAUGUCAUUAGCAUGGGUUGUUUAGUAGGUUUUAUAUUACUGUGGGGGAGGGUACGGUUGGUUUAGAACACGUGUAUGUGUAAAAACCCGGGUGGUCACCGAACUAGUGGCACCGGCCGGUGCUGGCGCUCAGAGCACAUCCAAACACCGCACCACUCUGCGUUUAUAAUCUAUAGUAACACGCGCCGUAUUCGCAUACAUCAUUGAAUCGUAUCAAAUUAUAUUUUGAAAUUGAUUAAUAUCAAAAGGUACAUCCGAAUUCGUGUGAUUCAUUUUAAAAGAGUACGCCACACCCUUUAGUGUUUAUAAAUAAUUAUCGCUAACACAAAACAAAUCGGAAAUUAAUUAUUAUAAUUAUAAUAUUAUUACAUAGUUAAUUAUAUAGUGUACUAUAUAUUAUAUUGUUUAUAUUAACAGUUAACACAAAUAUAAAUUAUAAUUAAAAAAAAAAAGAAAAAUGUCUUGACUGCCUGUAGUGAGUUUACAUACAAAGCGUAUAUUGAGC
Molecule: long non-coding RNA, 1906 nt
Organism: Metopolophium dirhodum (rose-grain aphid)
Lineage: Eukaryota; Metazoa; Arthropoda; Insecta; Hemiptera; Aphididae
Exons: 3
Source: RefSeq, a predicted model, not a curated record